ACACACACAAGUUCAAAUCUUAAACUACGCCUUGCUCAGACAGUUACUUUUCCACUACACACAUACAUUGUUUAUCCUAUUCUGCAACAUGUUUCAUCAUUUUCUGCAAGCCUAACUGUAACGGCUGUCUUCGUGAAGAGAGGACCAAGGCGCAGCGGGUUGCGUGCUCAUCAUUAUAUUUAUUUUAAAUAAAGACUGUGAACACGGGAAAGACAAGCAACGACAGGAACCAGUUUAGCAGGCUAUACACGUAACAGCAGUGCUACAGACAACUACCCACAAAUAACAAACAAAACACAUCCCUAAUUAUAGGACUCUCAAUCAAAGGCAACUACAAACACCUGCCUCCAAUUGAAAGUCCAACACCCAAUUACCUAACAUAGAAAAUACUAAACUAGAAAGAACAUAGAAAUACAAAAACAUAGAACAUAACCCAAAACCCGGAAAUAAUAAAUCAAACACCCUACUAAACAAACCACCACCCCGAACCACAUAAAACAAAUACCCCCUGCCACGUCCUGACCAAACCACAAUCACAAAUAACCCCUAUUACUGGUCAGGACGUGACACUAACAAUGUUAUUGGUUUCACAGUAGCACAGCUUGUCUAUCGAUUGCUCCUCCUAUCCUUUGUUUCACACUUACGCCCUGCUUCCAUAGCUAAACAGGAACAAAAAAAUGUCCUGGUUCUAAUUCUGACUAAAACUACACGCAUCAGAUUAUAGUUUUAUGAUUCUAAUACAUUUCACACAGUUAUACAGUUUCAGGGUGAAAUAUCUUAGUCAUUACUUUAAACAUACAAAUUCUUCUAUCAUCUUGGCGCACACGUUUUAUACAUUUGUCCUCCUCACGUCAUCCUCAUAGUAACUCCUCUUAAUGGCUCAUCACCUGUGGCAUUUAGCCACCGUUAUCUCAUUGCCUUCGUAUUAGAACAUGGAACCUGUAGAGCCACAGAAAUACUUUCAUGCAUGUAGGACCAUAGCAACAGACCUUUUUAUUUUAUUUUGAUUUUAUUAUUGUGACUAUUUUUUUUUUACUUGUUCACAUGAUUAAGCAUGUAUUUAAUAUAGCAAUAAUGACAUUAACUUAUUUAGUGAGCUGUCUUUUAGCCAAGAUAUGAAAUGUAAUCAUAAAUGACUGUAGCGCAUAAGACACACACAACAAAUCAAAGUUUAUUUGUCACGUGUGCUGAAUACAACAGGUGUAGUAGACCUUACAGUGAAAUGCUGAAUACAACAAGUGUAGUAGACCUCACAGUGAAAU
RNAcentral lists this long non-coding RNA (1262 nucleotides) under Salmo salar (Atlantic salmon). RNAcentral describes it as "lncRNA (ENSSSAG00000118004.1)". The record is from RNAcentral. Lineage: Eukaryota; Metazoa; Chordata; Actinopteri; Salmoniformes; Salmonidae.